This 107-nucleotide small nuclear RNA is filed under the name Physeter macrocephalus (sperm whale). Lineage: Eukaryota; Metazoa; Chordata; Mammalia; Artiodactyla; Physeteridae. The record is from RNAcentral.
GUGCUUGCUUCAGCAACACAUAUACUAAAAUUGGAAUGAUACAGGGAAGAUUAGCAUGGCCCCUGUGCAAGGAUGAUGUGCAAAUUCAUGAAGUGCUCCAUACUAAA